AACGUAGGACGCAAGCGUUAUCCGGAGUUACUGGGCGUAAAGGGCAGGCAGGCGGGUCGAUAAGUCGGAUGUGAAAUCUCCCUGGCUUAACCGGGAGAGUGCAUUUGAGACGGUCAACCUGGAGGGCAGAAGAGGAGAGUGGAAUUCCUGGUGUAGCGGUGAAAUGCGCAGAUAUCAGGAAGAACACCUAUGGCGAAGGCAGCUCUCUGGGACGGUACUGACGCUGAGACGCGAAAGCGUGGGGAGCGAACAGG
This 254-nucleotide ribosomal RNA is filed under the name uncultured bacterium. Its description in RNAcentral is "partial 16S ribosomal RNA". It matches the Rfam family "Bacterial small subunit ribosomal RNA", at positions 524 to 776 of the family's 1533-position model. The record is from RNAcentral.